This 496-nucleotide ribosomal RNA is filed under the name uncultured bacterium. Its description in RNAcentral is "partial 16S ribosomal RNA". It matches the Rfam family "Bacterial small subunit ribosomal RNA", at positions 28 to 507 of the family's 1533-position model. The record is from RNAcentral.
GAUGAACGCUGGCGGCGUGCCUAAUACAUGCAAGUCGAGCGAACAGACGAGGAGCUUGCUCCUCUGACGUUAGCGGCGGACGGGUGAGUAACACGUGGAUAACCUACCUAUAAGACUGGGAUAACUGCGGGAAACCGGAGCUAAUACCGGAUAAUAUAUUGAACCGCAUGGUUCAAUAGUGAAAGACGGUUUUGCUGUCGCUUAUAGAUGGAUCGGCGCCUCAUUGGUAGUUGGUCAGGUAACGGCUUAACAAGGCAACGAUGCGUAGGCGAACUGAGAGGGUGGUCGGCCACACGGGAGCGUGGACACGGUCCAGACUCCUACGGGAGGCAGCAGUAGGGAAUCGGCCGCAAUGGGCGAAAGCCUGACGGAGCAACGCCGCGUGAGUGAUGAAGGUCUUCGGAUCGUAAAACUCUGUUACUAGGGAAGAACAAAUGUGUAAGUAACUAUGCACGUCUUGACGGUACCUAAACAGAAAGCCACGGCUAACUACGUG